GUGAAUUGCAGAAUUCAGUGAUCAUCGAAUCUUUGAACGCACAUUGCGCCCUUUGGUAUUCCAAAGGGCAUGCCUGUUCGAGCGUCAUUUGUACCCUCAAGCUUUGCUUGGUGUUGGGCGUCUUGUCUCUAGCUUUGCUGGAGACUCGCCUUAAAGUAAUUGGCAGCCGGCCUACUGGUUUCGGAGCGCAGCACAAGUCGCACUCUCUAUCAGCAAAGGUCUAGCAUCCAUUAAGCCUUUUUUUCAACUUUUGACCUCGGAUCAGGUAGGGAUACCCGCUGAACUUAAGCAUAUCAAUAAGCGGAGGAA
This 309-nucleotide ribosomal RNA is filed under the name Alternaria alternata. RNAcentral's name for it is "eukaryotic LSU rRNA". The stretch from base 1 to 87 matches the Rfam family "5.8S ribosomal RNA", at positions 67 to 154 of the family's 154-position model. Lineage: Eukaryota; Fungi; Ascomycota; Dothideomycetes; Pleosporales; Pleosporaceae. The record is from RNAcentral.